UNUGCCUGGACUUGCAGGGCCUAUCCACU
RNAcentral lists this non-coding RNA (29 nucleotides) under Rattus norvegicus (Norway rat). The record is from RNAcentral. Lineage: Eukaryota; Metazoa; Chordata; Mammalia; Rodentia; Muridae.